Molecule: ribosomal RNA, 207 nt
Filed under: uncultured bacterium
Lineage: Bacteria
Description: partial 16S ribosomal RNA
Rfam family: Bacterial small subunit ribosomal RNA
Source: RNAcentral
UGCGUAGGCGGUGCGGUAAGUCAGGUGUGAAAUCCCUCGGCUCAACCGAGGAACUGCGCUUGAUACUGCCGUGCUUGAGGGAGACAGAGGCGAGCGGAACUGAUGGUGGAGCGGUGAAAUGCGUUGAUAUCAUCAGGAACACCCGUGGCGAAAGCGGCUCGCUGGGUCUCUUCUGACGCUGAGGCACGAAAGCUAGGGGAGCGAACG